CUAUCAGGUAGUAGUGGGUGUAGCGUACCUACUAGCCUACGACGGGUACGGGUUGUGAGAGCAAGAGCCCGGAGAUGGAUUCUGAGACACGAAUCCAGGCCCUACGGGGUGCAGCAGGCGCGAAAACUUUACAAUGCUGGCAACAGCGAUAAGGGAACCUCGAGUGCCAGGUUACAAAUCUGGCUGUCGUGAUGCCUAAAAAGCAUUGCAUAGCAAGGGCCGGGCAAGACCGGUGCCAGCCGCCGCGGUAACACCGGCGGCUCGAGUGGUAACCGUUAUUAUUGGGUCUAAAGGGUCUGUAGCCGGCCGGAUAAGUCUCUUGGGAAAUCUGGCAGCUCAACUGUCAGGCUUUCGGGAGAUACUGUCUGGCUCGAGGCCGGGAGAGGUGAGAGGUACUUCAGGGGUAGGGGUGAAAUCUUGUAAUCCUUGAAGGACCACCAGUGGCGAAGGCGUCUCACCAGAACGGACCUGACGGCAAGGGACGAAAGCUAGGGGCACGAACCGGAUUAGAUACCCGGGUAGUCCUAGCCGUAAACGAUACUCGCUAGGUGUCGGCCACGGUGCGACCGUUGUCGGUGCCGUAGGGAAGCCGUGAAGCGAGC
Molecule: ribosomal RNA, 602 nt
Filed under: uncultured archaeon
Lineage: Archaea
Description: bacterial SSU rRNA
Rfam family: Archaeal small subunit ribosomal RNA
Source: RNAcentral